Molecule: ribosomal RNA, 587 nt
Filed under: uncultured Curvibacter sp.
Lineage: Bacteria; Pseudomonadati; Pseudomonadota; Betaproteobacteria; Burkholderiales; Comamonadaceae
Description: bacterial SSU rRNA
Rfam family: Bacterial small subunit ribosomal RNA
Source: RNAcentral
UACUCUACGGGAGGCAGCAGUGGGGAAUUUUGGACAAUGGGCGCAAGCCUGAUCCAGCAAUGCCGCGUGCAGGACGAAGGCCUUCGGGUUGUAAACUGCUUUUGUACGGAACGAAACGGCCCCUUCUAAUACAGGGGGCUAAUGACGGUACCGUAAGAAUAAGCACCGGCUAACUACGUGCCAGCAGCCGCGGUAAUACGUAGGGUGCGAGCGUUAAUCGGAAUUACUGGGCGUAAAGCGUGCGCAGGCGGUUUUGUAAGACAGAUGUGAAAUCCCCGGGCUCAACCUGGGACCUGCAUUUGUGACUGCAAAGCUAGAGUACGGCAGAGGGGGAUGGAAUUCUGCGUGUAGCAGUGAAAUGCGUAGAUAUGCGGAGGAACACCGAUGGCGAAGGCAGUCCCCUGGGCCUGUACCGACGCUCAUGCACGAAAGCGUGGGGAGCAAACAGGAUUAGAUACCCUGGUAGUCCACGCCCUAAACGAUGUCAACUGGUUGUUGGGUCUUCACUGACUCAGUAACGGAGCUAACGCGUGAAGUUGACCGCCUGGGGAGUACGGCCGCAAGGUUGAAACUUAAAGGAAUGACGG